UCUUUCUUCUUCUUAUUGUUUGCAUUUAGUUGAAAUAAAUUGGCCGCAAAUUCCUUAAACGAAUAAGUAAAUGGAUAAAAUGAGCACGAACGGUGAAGUUGAGUUUUUACCAAAACGCAAGCGCUACAACCCCCAAAAGCGUUGAGAAGUUGCCGAGGAAAAAGCGUUGAUUGAAUUCCUUCUAGAGAAUCGCGAUUUUGAGUUAUUUACAGAAACCAUCGGCAAGGCUAUUUUAUAAUCGCUUCGCGAAUGAAAAACAAAUCCUGGUCGAGUGGAAAUCAGCGCGCUCAAAAGUAAGAAAUAUGCGAUCUGUAUAAAGCGAAGGAAUGGUAAGGAAGUACUGGCGCUGGUUGCAUGGAUGGCGAUACUAUAAAAAGCGUUUUGCUCAAAAAGGCUCGCUAUUUCUACGAAUUUGACGAUAUUUUCGGUGCCCGACUAAACGCUUGUGCUGUAGUUGAAGAAAUAAUGGAAAGUGCUGAUACUACCAUUGAAGUAUUAAGUCCUGUGCAAAUUGAAAUUCCUACUGCAAAUGAAACAGUUACCACUCCAAGGCAAAGAGGAAUAUACUCCAGAACAGCGGCUUCCGAUAUUAUGCAAAUCCAUGGCGAAAUAAUGACAUUGCGAAAGCAAAAGUUAGAGGCAGAAUUGACUGCAAGGGAAAGAGAGUUCGAGCAAAAAGAAAAAGAGUUGCAGUUAAAAGCUAAAGAAGUAGAGCUCAAAGAAAUUGAAAUAUUCGCGCUAAAAGACAUCAAACAACUAGAGCUACAGAUGAAAGAGCGAAUCGCCAUGGAGGAGCUAAAGCUGAAGUACAAAUACAUUUUUAAAACUUAUUUAGUAUACGAAAAUACCAAUUUUUCUAUUUUUUACCUUUGUUUUCUAUGAGAUGGACUCACACAUCGUUUUAUACGAUGGUUUAAUUUAAAUUUUUGUUAAUGGUAUAAUUUUAUAUGUACAUUUGUACGUAUGUACUAUGAACGUACAAUAAACGCCAAAUAUACACGUAUACUUGAAAAUGUAAAAGUGAAUAAAUGUAGCUAUGUUAGUGCAAUAUGUUUAAACGCAAA
Molecule: long non-coding RNA, 1064 nt
Organism: Bactrocera tryoni
Lineage: Eukaryota; Metazoa; Arthropoda; Insecta; Diptera; Tephritidae
Exons: 4
Source: RefSeq, a predicted model, not a curated record